AUCAAGAACUGAAACUGUAAGAUGACUGUGGACUUUCCUGAAAAAGGGAAGGGGAAAAAAUCAAGGGCCUUGUUCUAACACAUCAGGUGGCAGAGAAGAGGAGAAAUAGGAUACAGAAACACAUCAGCAAAGGGAAAGGAGGAAGCACACACCUUUGCCAUCCAUACAGAAAUUUUAUGGCACUUCCAUUUCUAUGGAGCAUUACACAUGGACGCCUAAAUAAUGGAAUUAAAAAUAAACACAGACUUCCUCGUUCAGGAACAACAGGCAGAUGAGAUCUUCAGUUGAUAACUCAUCAUGUGCGAGCUGCUCCAGGCAACAAGCAACCUUCUACAAGGACUAUUGGCU
This is a long non-coding RNA of Rhineura floridana, 348 nucleotides long. RefSeq lists it as uncharacterized. NCBI's taxonomy places the organism in Eukaryota, Metazoa, Chordata, Lepidosauria, Squamata, Rhineuridae. The record is from RefSeq and is a predicted model, not a curated record. The transcript is spliced from 3 exons.